This 275-nucleotide long non-coding RNA is filed under the name Mytilus galloprovincialis (Mediterranean mussel). The record is from RNAcentral. Lineage: Eukaryota; Metazoa; Mollusca; Bivalvia; Mytilida; Mytilidae.
AAGAAAACUGCCGGACAAAAUCAUUGGAAGAAUAAGAAUAAUAAUAGUAAAGAAACAGAGGAAAAGCAAUAUGUCACCCGACAUUGUCGAUCGGGUGACAUAACUAGAUUUGUAAUUGCUAGCAAUAACGGAUGGCACCCUCGUCCCCCCAUUGCCAGGCGAGCGGCAGCCAUUUUGAAAAUUCCAAAGUCAAAGAGUGCAUCUACACAUGCAAGUUAUCAUUUUUGCAAAAUUUCAUUAAGUUUGGAGCAUUUUGAAAUUUUGGACAAUUUUGC